AAACAACACAUGUUUUUAAUAAUGGUGUUCUCAAAAGGAUAACUUUGCAGUUUCGAGCAGGUACAAUAUGGAGAAAAUUACAAAGAUGAUGUUGUUAUGGAAUACUAAUCAAUGAUUCAACAAUCGACUACUUACAAGUACCUGUCAAUACCGAACUUUUCAUCAUGCUUUCGACGUGGCAUACAAGUUGGCGUCACACAAGUUAUUUACUCACUGACUCUAUUGUGCUCCUAUGAGCGUUGUUGGAAUGAAACGAAGAACACCAAUACAGACGGAGCCCCCCUAGUGUACAAUCAGAGGUUGUUGCUUUAUAGUAGUGGUGGUGCUCGAGCAGGGACGAAUCAGGGGUCGUUUGAUAAGGGACAAUGGCGCAUUACAGGGUCAGCUAAACUUUACCAGAGUUUCACGUAAAAGUGAAAAGUUGAUUAUUUCAAGAAGAAAAGUUAGUUGUAUUACCUGAAAUCCUAAUUUAGAGGGCAACAAACAGCGGUUUUCUAAACCAUGCAUAUUUACGGGUGAAA
Ctenocephalides felis (cat flea) is the source of this 521-nucleotide long non-coding RNA. RefSeq lists it as uncharacterized. The record is from RefSeq and is a predicted model, not a curated record. Lineage: Eukaryota; Metazoa; Arthropoda; Insecta; Siphonaptera; Pulicidae. The transcript is spliced from 4 exons.